UACCAGUCCCUGCUUUGCUGUUUGCCC
Molecule: non-coding RNA, 27 nt
Filed under: Homo sapiens (human)
Lineage: Eukaryota; Metazoa; Chordata; Mammalia; Primates; Hominidae
Source: RNAcentral